RNAcentral lists this ribosomal RNA (112 nucleotides) under Caerostris darwini. Lineage: Eukaryota; Metazoa; Arthropoda; Arachnida; Araneae; Araneidae. The record is from RNAcentral.
AACGGCCGUAGCAUGCUGAAUAUACCGGUUCUCGUUAGAUCACCGAAGUCAAGCAUCAUUGGGCGCGGUCAGUACUUGGGUGGGUGACCACCUGGGAACACCGCGUGCCGUU